AGCUCCAAUAGCGUAUAUUAAUGUUGUUGCAGUUAAAAAGCUCGUAGUUGGAUUUGUGGACUGGGCCGUCGGUCCGACACUUUUGUGUGGGUACCAGACGUUUCGGUUCAUCCUUGGGUGGAAUCUGUGUGGCAUUAGGUUGUCGUGCAGGGGAUACCCAUCAUUUACUGUGAGAAAAUUAGAGUGUUCAAAGCAGGCUUAUGCCGUUGAAUAUGUUAGCAUGGAAUAAUAAGAUAGGACUUUGGUACUAUUUUGUUGGUUUGCGCACCGAAGUAAUGAUUAAUAGGGACAGUUGGGGGUAUUCGUAUUCCAUUGUCAGAGGUGAAAUUCUUGGAUUUUUGGAAGACGAACUACUGCGAAAGCAUUUACCAAGGAUGUUUUCAUUAAUCAAGAACGAAAG
This 400-nucleotide ribosomal RNA is filed under the name phytoplankton environmental sample. Its description in RNAcentral is "partial small subunit ribosomal RNA". It matches the Rfam family "Eukaryotic small subunit ribosomal RNA", at positions 587 to 989 of the family's 1831-position model. The record is from RNAcentral.